RNAcentral lists this ribosomal RNA (1732 nucleotides) under Escherichia coli. Its description in RNAcentral is "partial 23S ribosomal RNA". It matches the Rfam family "Bacterial large subunit ribosomal RNA", at positions 418 to 2136 of the family's 2925-position model. The record is from RNAcentral. Lineage: Bacteria; Pseudomonadati; Pseudomonadota; Gammaproteobacteria; Enterobacterales; Enterobacteriaceae.
CGGGACACGUGGUAUCCUGUCUGAAUAUGGGGGGACCAUCCUCCAAGGCUAAAUACUCCUGACUGACCGAUAGUGAACCAGUACCGUGAGGGAAAGGCGAAAAGAACCCCGGCGAGGGGAGUGAAAAAGAACCUGAAACCGUGUACGUACAAGCAGUGGGAGCCUCUUUUAUGGGGUGACUGCGUACCUUUUGUAUAAUGGGUCAGCGACUUAUAUUCUGUAGCAAGGUUAACCGAAUAGGGGAGCCGAAGGGAAACCGAGUCUUAACUGGGCGUUAAGUUGCAGGGUAUAGACCCGAAACCCGGUGAUCUAGCCAUGGGCAGGUUGAAGGUUGGGUAACACUAACUGGAGGACCGAACCGACUAAUGUUGAAAAAUUAGCGGAUGACUUGUGGCUGGGGGUGAAAGGCCAAUCAAACCGGGAGAUAGCUGGUUCUCCCCGAAAGCUAUUUAGGUAGCGCCUCGUGAAUUCAUCUCCGGGGGUAGAGCACUGUUUCGGCAAGGGGGUCAUCCCGACUUACCAACCCGAUGCAAACUGCGAAUACCGGAGAAUGUUAUCACGGGAGACACACGGCGGGUGCUAACGUCCGUCGUGAAGAGGGAAACAACCCAGACCGCCAGCUAAGGUCCCAAAGUCAUGGUUAAGUGGGAAACGAUGUGGGAAGGCCCAGACAGCCAGGAUGUUGGCUUAGAAGCAGCCAUCAUUUAAAGAAAGCGUAAUAGCUCACUGGUCGAGUCGGCCUGCGCGGAAGAUGUAACGGGGCUAAACCAUGCACCGAAGCUGCGGCAGCGACACUGUGUGUUGUUGGGUAGGGGAGCGUUCUGUAAGCCUGCGAAGGUGUGCUGUGAGGCAUGCUGGAGGUAUCAGAAGUGCGAAUGCUGACAUAAGUAACGAUAAAGCGGGUGAAAAGCCCGCUCGCCGGAAGACCAAGGGUUCCUGUCCAACGUUAAUCGGGGCAGGGUGAGUCGACCCCUAAGGCGAGGCCGAAAGGCGUAGUCGAUGGGAAACAGGUUAAUAUUCCUGUACUUGGUGUUACUGCGAAGGGGGGACGGAGAAGGCUAUGUUGGCCGGGCGACGGUUGUCCCGGUUUAAGCGUGUAGGCUGGUUUUCCAGGCAAAUCCGGAAAAUCAAGGCUGAGGCGUGAUGACGAGGCACUACGGUGCUGAAGCAACAAAUGCCCUGCUUCCAGGAAAAGCCUCUAAGCAUCAGGUAACAUCAAAUCGUACCCCAAACCGACACAGGUGGUCAGGUAGAGAAUACCAAGGCGCUUGAGAGAACUCGGGUGAAGGAACUAGGCAAAAUGGUGCCGUAACUUCGGGAGAAGGCACGCUGAUAUGUAGGUGAAGCGACUUGCUCGUGGAGCUGAAAUCAGUCGAAGAUACCAGCUGGCUGCAACUGUUUAUUAAAAACACAGCACUGUGCAAACACGAAAGUGGACGUAUACGGUGUGACGCCUGCCCGGUGCCGGAAGGUUAAUUGAUGGGGUCAGCGCAAGCGAAGCUCUUGAUCGAAGCCCCGGUAAACGGCGGCCGUAACUAUAACGGUCCUAAGGUAGCGAAAUUCCUUGUCGGGUAAGUUCCGACCUGCACGAAUGGCGUAAUGAUGGCCAGGCUGUCUCCACCCGAGACUCAGUGAAAUUGAACUCGCUGUGAAGAUGCAGUGUACCCGCGGCAAGACGGAAAGACCCCGUGAACCUUUACUAUAGCUUGACACUGAACAUUGAGCCUUGAUG